RNAcentral lists this ribosomal RNA (793 nucleotides) under uncultured archaeon. Its description in RNAcentral is "bacterial SSU rRNA". It matches the Rfam family "Archaeal small subunit ribosomal RNA", at positions 85 to 879 of the family's 1478-position model. The record is from RNAcentral.
ACUGCUCAGUAACACGUGGACAACCUGCCCUUAGGUUGGGUAUAAACCCGGGAAACUGGGUAUAAUACCCGAUAGGUCUCGAUUGCUGGAAUGCAUCGAGAUUUAAAGCUCCGGCGCCUAAGGAUGGGUCUGCGGCCUAUCAGGUAGUAGUGGGUGUAGCGUACCUACUAGCCUACGACGGGUACGGGUUGUGAGAGCAAGAGCCCGGAGAUGGAUUCUGAGACACGAAUCCAGGCCCUACGGGGUGCAGCAGGCGCGAAAACUUUACAAUGCUGGCAACAGCGAUAAGGGAACCUCGAGUGCCAGGUUACAAAUCUGGCUGUCGAGAUGCCUAAAAAGCAUUUCAUAGCAAGGGCCGGGCAAGACCGGUGCCAGCCGCCGCGGUAACACCGGCGGCUCGAGUGGUAACCGUUAUUAUUGGGUCUAAAGGGUCUGUAGCCGGCCGGAUAAGUCUCUUGAGAAAUCUGGCAGCUUAACUGUCAGGCUUUCAGGAGAUACUGUCUGGCUCGAGGCCGGGAGAGGUGAGAGGUACUUCAGGGGUAGGGGUGAAAUCUUGUAAUCCUUGAAGGACCACCAGUGGCGAAGGCGCCUCACCAGAACGGACCUGACGGCAAGGGACGAAAGCUAGGGGCACGAACCGGAUUAGAUACCCGGGUAGUCCUAGCCGUAAACGAUACUCGCUAGGUGUCGGCCACGGUGCGACCGUUGUCGGUGCCGUAGGGAAGCCGUGAAGCGAGCCACCUGGGAAGUACGGCCGCAAGGCUGAAACUUAAAGGAAUUGGCGGGGGAGCAC